RNAcentral lists this long non-coding RNA (2286 nucleotides) under Sus scrofa (pig). RNAcentral describes it as "lncRNA (ENSSSCG00025046948.1)". Lineage: Eukaryota; Metazoa; Chordata; Mammalia; Artiodactyla; Suidae. The record is from RNAcentral.
CUUUACGGCAGUGUGGCUGGACCCGCUGCUGAGCGGGCCGCAGUUUGGGAGUGAGUGGAGGGAAUCAGAGUAGCCCGUGUUGGCAGAACUUGGAACCAUGGACGUGGGCGAACUUCUGAGCUACCAGCCAAUUGUGGAUCUACCUAUCUGUACUACCAUUCACCCACAUUUCUCCAUCUGCCUGCUUCCAUGACUUUGUGAAAGAUCUUGUUGAGAAGAAGUUGACCUGUAGGUAUUACAAACCCUUAACCUUAUCAGUCAGCAGUAACAAUAUCAAGGGACUACAACCACUUGGGCCUGACUUGUUUCACGUAAUUCCUUGCUAGCCUCUAGUGGUCUCCUUUUAUUUCCCCCAAUGGUCUCCCUUUAUUCCCCCCUAAGUGUGUGCAUAACCAUACUAUUUGGCCGAAUUUACUUCAGAUCUUUUUUUAAAGGAAGAAAAAUAUUAUAAAUACCAUUGAAGUGUCCUGUGUAUCCUUCCCUAGUCCCAUUUCAUUGUAUACCCCUCCUUAAUCCAAUAUAUUACCUUUUUUAGAAGCAACCACUGCCCUGAAUUUGGUGAUUAUUAUUACCAUGGAUUUUUUUAAAUGAUUACUGCUUAUGUGUACAUCCAGUGAUCAUUGAAAUUUUUAAUAUGCUCCAGUGAACAUUCUUUAAACACCUCCUUGUACAUAUGUCUGAGAGUUUCUCUAAUGUGUAUAUACCUAGGAGUAGAAUUGCUGUGAUGGUCAUGGAAUAUUAGUAUUAUUAGGUAACACCAAUUAGCUCCGUACUCAUUUACACUCCUAUUAGCAUGUUUUAAGUUUGUUUUUCCAUAUCCUAACCAACACGUGGUAUUGCCGGACUUCACUUUUUUAUUUUUUGCCAAUCUGAUGAUAUUCAUGGUUUGUUUGUGCAUUUUCUUAAUUUGUAAUGAGAUUGGUCCCUUUUUACCUGUUUAUGGGCUACUCCAUAUUUUUUCUUUUGUAAUCAUAAAUAUGAUUAUAUUCUUUGUCAGAAGCUGAUUUUAAGUAAUUCUAAAAGUCUGUUGUAUAUAUAGGACUUUGCAGUUAGCAGUCAUUAAAAAGAGAUUGAACCCAAGACUCUGUGUUCUUUUCAAAGGGCUGUAUUAUUUUAUUUAAUCUUACUCUCUUUUAUCUUACUAAAGACAGUCCUGUGAGGUAGCAGAGCAGGGGCAGAACAUUUGUAUAAAUGCAGUCCUGGUAAGUCAAAUGACUUAUCUAAGAUCAUGUGACUUUUAAGUGAUUCACUUGAACCCAGAUUUUUCUGAUUCCUGUUCAGCUGCUCUUUGCAUUGUACUAUGUUGCUUCUUUUAGAUCACUGCAAUUCUGCUGUUGUUCUUGGAUUGAUGUCUAAUGUUCCCUCCAGCACCUAACAGAGUGAUGUUCUGCUUCUAUUAGCCUAGUAAACACUUCCUAAGUGAAUGAAUGAAUGAUCAUGGUUCUGGUGUAGCUGACAAAACAUUCAUAAUGUCUUAAAAUGGAGGUAUUUUACCUUACAAUGAUUUUACGAGUACCUGCCUCUGUUGGGCUUGAAAAAUAAAGAAACCGAAUCAACAUUCAGCUUUCUGAUGCAGCUGCAGAAUUAAUCAGAGAAGAUGUCAGAGUAAAUCAUGGACGCUAAAGAAUAGUUUGUACUUCCAAAAAGGAAAGCUCCACACCCUUUGGAAGUGAGACGAAUAUAUAUUCAGGCUUGAACAAGGAGUAAGAAUUUUUUUGUUACGAAAAUUGAUUAAGUAGAGUCUUCAUGACUAGUGAUUUAAAUCAUAAAUCACAGCCAUGUUACUUGGCAGCCAAUCAGAUUAUAGAUCAUAAGUGAAACCUUUGGUGAUGUUAGUUUUUGAUACAUUUAUUCCCUCCCCCCCAAUUGGGGACACUGAUAAAACCAUAUUCUCCAGUAAUUACUGUGGUCUUAGUACUUGUAAUUUUUUAAAUUGGGAAUUAAGUAAAUGAGGGUUCAGUUUUAUAUUUGCAAUGAUUUUGCGUCGAGAUUUUAAGGUGUUUUUAGUACCUGGUUUUACUUCCAGAAAAAAAGGUGGUAACUUGCCAUGAUUAAUUUUUUAAAGCUUUAAAUCUUGCCGAGGCAUAAUAUAUAAUUGUAUAUGAAUAUCUGGAGUUGUCACUCAGACAUUUUAUAAAAAUAUGAUGAUGAUCCCUUUUAUUGAUACAUCACUUUAUAAUUCAUGUAAGGCCCCUUUGUAAGAUGGUUUAAUCAUCACAACAACCAUUUAAGGCAGGGAGAAUUUUCUGUCUCUGAUGACUCUGAUCCCUAAUUAUGAACUUUGGC